AAGUCGAGGGGUAACGGGGAAGCUUGCUUCCGCCGACGACCGGCGCACGGGUGCGUAACGCGUAUACAAUCUACCUUGUACUGGGGUAUAGCCUUUAGAAAUGAAGAUUAACCCCCCAUAGUCUCUUAGAGUGGCAUCACUUCUAGAGUAAAGGUUACGGUAUAAGAUGAGUAUGCGUUCUAUUAGUUCGUUGGUGUGGUAACGGCACACCAAGACUACGAUAGAUAGGGGCCCUGAGAGGGGGAUCCCCCACACUGGUACUGAGACACGGACCAGACUCCUACGGGAGGCAGCAGUGAGGAAUAUUGGACAAUGGAGGCAACUCUGAUCCAGCCAUGCCGCGUGCAGGAAGACUGCCCUAUGGGUUGUAAACUGCUUUUAUACAGGAAGAAACACCUCUACGUGUAGAGGCUUGACGGUACUGUAAGAAUAAGGAUCGGCUAACUCCGUGCCAGCAGCCGCGGUAAUACGGAGGAUCCAAGCGUUAUCCGGAAUCAUUGGGUUUGAAGGGUCCGUAGGUGGAUAAUUAAGUCAGAGGUGAAAUCUUGCAGCUCAACUGUAAAAUUGCCUUUGAAACUGGUUAUCUUGAGUUAUUAUGAAGUAGUUAGAAUAUGUAGUGUAGCGGUGAAAUGCAUAGAUAUUACAUAGAA
This 650-nucleotide ribosomal RNA is filed under the name uncultured bacterium. RNAcentral describes it as "bacterial SSU rRNA". It matches the Rfam family "Bacterial small subunit ribosomal RNA", at positions 59 to 706 of the family's 1533-position model. The record is from RNAcentral.